This 738-nucleotide ribosomal RNA is filed under the name uncultured bacterium. Its description in RNAcentral is "bacterial SSU rRNA". It matches the Rfam family "Bacterial small subunit ribosomal RNA", at positions 102 to 857 of the family's 1533-position model. The record is from RNAcentral.
ACGGGUGAGUAACGCGUGGAUAACCUGCCGUAUACAGGGGGAUAACACUUAGAAAUAGGUGCUAAUACCGCAUAAGCGCACGGUUCCGCAUGGAACAGUGUGAAAAACUCCGGUGGUAUACGAUGGAUCCGCGUCUGAUUAGCCAGUUGGCGGGGUAACGGCCCACCAAAGCGACGAUCAGUAGCCGGCCUGAGAGGGUGAACGGCCACAUUGGGACUGAGACACGGCCCAAACUCCUACGGGAGGCAGCAGUGGGGAAUAAUGCACAAUGGGGGAAACCCUGAUGCAGCGACGCCGCGUGAGUGAAGAAGUAUCUCGGUACGUAAAGCUCUAUCAGCAGGGAAGAAAAUGACGGUACCUGACUAAGAAGCCCCGGCUAACUACGUGCCAGCAGCCGCGGUAAUACGUAGGGGGCAAGCGUUAUCCGGAUUUACUGGGUGUAAAGGGAGCGUAGACGGCAGCGCAAGUCUGGAGUGAAAUGCCGGGGCCCAACCCCGGAACUGCUUUGGAAACUGUGCAGCUCGAGUGCAGGAGAGGUAAGCGGAAUUCCUAGUGUAGCGGUGAAAUGCGUAGAUAUUAGGAGGAACACCAGUGGCGAAGGCGGCUUACUGGACUGUAACUGACGUUGAGGCUCGAAAGCGUGGGGAGCAAACAGGAUUAGAUACCCUGGUAGUCCACGCCGUAAACGAUGAUUACUAGGUGUCGGGGGGCCAAGGCCCUCCGGUGCCGCCGCAAACG